AAACCAACUGGGAUUACCUUAGUAACGGCGAGUGAAGCGAUAAAAAGCUCAAAUUUGAAAUCUGGUACUUUCAGUGCCCGAGUUGUAAUUUGUAGAAUUUGUCUUUGAUUAGGUCCUUGUCUAUGUUCCUUGGAACAGGACGUCAUAGAGGGUGAGAAUCCCGUUUGGCGAGGAUACCUUUUCUCUGUAAGACUUUUUCGAAGAGUCGAGUUGUUUGGGAAUGCAGCUCAAAGUGGGUGGUAAAUUCCAUCUAAAGCUAAAUAUUGGCGAGAGACCGAUAGCGAACAAGUACAGUGAUGGAAAGAUGAAAAGAACUUUGAAAAGAGAGUGAAAAAGUACGUGAAAUUGUUGAAAGGGAAGGGCAUUUGAUCAGACAUGGUGUUUUUGCAUGCACUCGCCUCUCGUGGGCUUGGGCCUCUCAAAAAUUUCACUGGGCCAACAUCAAUUCUGGCAGCAGGAUAAAUCAUUAAGAAUGUAGCUACUUCGGUAUGUUAUAGCUUUUUGGAAUACUGUUAGCC
RNAcentral lists this ribosomal RNA (518 nucleotides) under uncultured Hanseniaspora. RNAcentral describes it as "eukaryotic LSU rRNA". It matches the Rfam family "Eukaryotic large subunit ribosomal RNA", at positions 62 to 578 of the family's 3401-position model. Lineage: Eukaryota; Fungi; Ascomycota; Saccharomycetes; Saccharomycodales; Saccharomycodaceae. The record is from RNAcentral.